UGGGGGAAUAUUGGGGCAAUGGGCGAAAGCCUGAAGCAGCAACGCCGCGUGGAGGAUGACACUUUUCGGAGCGUAAACUCCUUUUCUUAGGGAAGAACAAUGACGGUACCCGGAGAAAAAGCAUCGGCUAACUCCGUGCCAGCAGCCGCGGUAAUACGGAGGAUGCGAGCGUUAUCCGGAUUUAUUGGGUUUAAAGGGUGCGCAGGCGGACUCGUCAAGUCAGCGGUAAAAAUUCGGGGCUCAACCCCGUCCUGCCGUUGAAACUGCGAGACUGGAGUGCGACAGAGGAAAGCGGAAUGCGAGGUGUAGCGGUGAAAUGCAUAGAUAUCGCGCAGAACUCCGAUUGCGAAGGCAGCUUUCCAUGUCGUGACUGACGCUGAGGCACGAAAGCGUGGGGAUCGAACAGGAUUAGAUACCCUGGUAGU
This 425-nucleotide ribosomal RNA is filed under the name uncultured Porphyromonadaceae bacterium. RNAcentral describes it as "bacterial SSU rRNA". It matches the Rfam family "Bacterial small subunit ribosomal RNA", at positions 354 to 794 of the family's 1533-position model. Lineage: Bacteria; Pseudomonadati; Bacteroidota; Bacteroidia; Bacteroidales; Porphyromonadaceae. The record is from RNAcentral.